GCCUGCCUGGCUCAGUCAGGAGGAGCAUAUGAUUCUUGAUCUCAGGGUCAUGAGUUCAAAUCUCAUGUUGGGCA
Molecule: transfer RNA, 74 nt
Filed under: Canis lupus familiaris (dog)
Lineage: Eukaryota; Metazoa; Chordata; Mammalia; Carnivora; Canidae
Also listed under: 3 other names
Rfam family: tRNA
About the family: Transfer RNA (tRNA) molecules are approximately 80 nucleotides in length. Their secondary structure includes four short double-helical elements and three loops (D, anti-codon, and T loops).
Source: Rfam by way of RNAcentral